UCACACUAUCAUUAACUGAAUCCAUAGGUUAAUGAGGCGAACCGGGGGAACUGAAACAUCUAAGUACCCCGAGGAAAAGAAAUCAACCGAGAUUCCCCCAGUAGCGGCGAGCGAACGGGGAGCAGCCCAGAGCCUGAAUCAGUGUGUGUGUUAGUGGAAGCGUCUGGAAAGGCGCGCGAUACAGGGUGACAGCCCCGUACACAAAAAUGCACAUACUGUGAGCUCGAUGAGUAGGGCGGGACACGUGGUAUCCUGUCUGAAUAUGGGGGGACCAUCCUCCAAGGCUAAAUACUCCUGACUGACCGAUAGUGAACCAGUACCGUGAGGGAAAGGCGAAAAGAACCCCGGCGAGGGGAGUGAAAAAGAACCUGAAACCGUGUACGUACAAGCAGUGGGAGCACAGAGCAAUCUGUGUGACUGCGUACCUUUUGUAUAAUGGGUCAGCGACUUAUAUUCUGUAGCAAGGUUAACCGAAUAGGGGAGCCGAAGGGAAACCGAGUCUUAACUGGGCGUUAAGUUGCAGGGUAUAGACCCGAAACCCGGUGAUCUAGCCAUGGGCAGGUUGAAGGUUGGGUAACACUAACUGGAGGACCGAACCGACUAAUGUUGAAAAAUUAGCGGAUGACUUGUGGCUGGGGGUGAAAGGCCAAUCAAACCGGGAGAUAGCUGGUUCUCCCCGAAAGCUAUUUAGGUAGCGCCUCGUGAAUUCAUCUCCGGGGGUAGAGCACUGUUUCGGCAAGGGGGUCAUCCCGACUUACCAACCCGAUGCAAACUGCGAAUACCGGAGAAUGUUAUCACGGGAGACACACGGCGGGUGCUAACGUCCGUCGUGAAGAGGGAAACAACCCAGACCGCCAGCUAAGGUCCCAAAGUCAUGGUUAAGUGGGAAACGAUGUGGGAAGGCCCAGACAGCCAGGAUGUUGGCUUAGAAGCAGCCAUCAUUUAAAGAAAGCGUAAUAGCUCACUGGUCGAGUCGGCCUGCGCGGAAGAUGUAACGGGGCUAAACCAUGCAC
Molecule: ribosomal RNA, 1013 nt
Filed under: Escherichia coli
Lineage: Bacteria; Pseudomonadati; Pseudomonadota; Gammaproteobacteria; Enterobacterales; Enterobacteriaceae
Description: bacterial LSU rRNA
Rfam family: Bacterial large subunit ribosomal RNA
Source: RNAcentral